CCUCAGUGCCUUCCAGUAAAGGCAGCAGCAGCAGCAGCAGCAGCGGCAGCAGCAGCUCCUCCAGCGACUCAGAGAGCAGCUCAGGAUC
RNAcentral lists this microRNA precursor (88 nucleotides) under Chlorocebus sabaeus (green monkey). RNAcentral's name for it is "miRNA (ENSCSAG00000021785.1)". The record is from RNAcentral. Lineage: Eukaryota; Metazoa; Chordata; Mammalia; Primates; Cercopithecidae.